CUAUGGAAGGCUUGCUUCCACUGAGAAGAUAGUGGCGAACGGGUGAGUAACACGUGGGGUAACCCUGCCCAUAAGAGGGGGAUAACAUCCGGAAACGGGUGCUAAUACCGCAUAGUUUCUUGAUCGCAUGAUUGGGAAAGGAAAGACGGCCUUUGUGCUGUCGCUUAUGGAUGGACCCGCGGCGUAUUAGUUAGUUGGUGAGGUAACGGCUCACCAAGACGAUGAUACGUAGCCGACCUGAGAGGGUGAUCGGCCACAUUGGGACUGAGACACGGCCCAAACUCCUACGGGAGGCAGCAGUAGGGAAUCUUCCGCAAUGGACGAAAGUCUGACGGAGCAACGCCGCGUGAGUGAAGAAAAGGUUUUCGGAUCGUAAAACUCUGUUGUCAGAGAAGAACAAGUUGGAGAGUAACUGCUCCAGCCUUGACGGUAUCUGACCAGAAAGCCACGGCUAACUACGUGCCAGCAGCGGC
This 473-nucleotide ribosomal RNA is filed under the name uncultured bacterium. Its description in RNAcentral is "bacterial SSU rRNA". It matches the Rfam family "Bacterial small subunit ribosomal RNA", at positions 70 to 518 of the family's 1533-position model. The record is from RNAcentral.